This 253-nucleotide ribosomal RNA is filed under the name uncultured bacterium. RNAcentral describes it as "partial 16S ribosomal RNA". It matches the Rfam family "Bacterial small subunit ribosomal RNA", at positions 524 to 776 of the family's 1533-position model. The record is from RNAcentral.
UACGUAGGGUCCGAGCGUUGUCCGGAAUUACUGGGCGUAAAGAGCUCGUAGGUGGUUUGUCGCGUUGUUCGUGAAAACUCACAGCUCAACUGUGGGCGUGCGGGCGAUACGGGCAGACUUGAGUACUGCAGGGGAGACUGGAAUUCCUGGUGUAGCGGUGAAAUGCGUAGAUAUCCGGAGGAACACCGGUGGCGAAGGCGGCUUCCUGGACCGACACUGACGCUGAGGCGCGAAAGCUAGGGGAGCAAACGGG